AUCUAAGGGACUUUAUACUGUAUCUAAGGGGCUUUAUACUGUAUCUAAGGGGCUUCAUACUGUAUCUAAUGGGCUUUAUACUGUAUCUCAGGUUAAGGGGCUUUAUACUGUAUCUCAGGUUAAGGGGCUUUAUACUGUAUCUAAGGGGCUUUAUACUGUAUCUAAGGUUAAGGGGCUUCAUACUGUAUCUAAGGGGCUUUAUACUGUAUCUAAGGUUAAGGGGCUUUAUACUGUAUAUAAGGGGCUUUAUACUGUAUCUAAGG
Long non-coding RNA from Clupea harengus (Atlantic herring), 263 nucleotides. NCBI's taxonomy places the organism in Eukaryota, Metazoa, Chordata, Actinopteri, Clupeiformes, Clupeidae. The record is from Ensembl.